RNAcentral lists this ribosomal RNA (495 nucleotides) under uncultured bacterium. RNAcentral describes it as "partial 16S ribosomal RNA". It matches the Rfam family "Bacterial small subunit ribosomal RNA", at positions 29 to 523 of the family's 1533-position model. The record is from RNAcentral.
AACGAACGCUGGCGGAAUGCUUUACACAUGCAAGUCGAACGGUAGAGGGGGCAACCCCUCGAGAGUGGCGAACGGGUGAGUAAUAUAUCGGAACGUGCCCAGUCGUGGGGGAUAACGUAGCGAAAGUUACGCUAAUACCGCAUACGAUCUAAGGAUGAAGCGGGGGAUCGCAAGACCUCGCGCGAUUGGAGCGGCCGAUAUCAGAUUAGGUAGUUGGUGGGGUAAAGGCUCACCAAGCCAACGAUCUGUAGCUGGUCUGAAAGGACGACCAGCCACACUGGAACUGAGACACGGUCCAGACUCCUACGGGAGGCAGCAGUGGGGAAUUUUGGACAAUGGACGCAAGUCUGAUCCAGCCAUUCCGCGUGCAGGAUGAAGGCCCUCGGGUUGUAAACUGCUUUUGUACGGAACGAAAAGGUCUCUCUUAAUACGGGGGACUCAUGACGGUACCGUAAGAAUAAGCACCGGCUAACUACGUGCCAGCAGCCGCGGUAA